RNAcentral lists this ribosomal RNA (253 nucleotides) under uncultured bacterium. Its description in RNAcentral is "partial 16S ribosomal RNA". It matches the Rfam family "Bacterial small subunit ribosomal RNA", at positions 524 to 776 of the family's 1533-position model. The record is from RNAcentral.
UACGUAGGUGGCGAGCGUUAUCCGGAAUUACUGGGCGUAAAGGGCGUGUAGGCGGCUCGGUAAGUCAGAUGUGAAAUCUCCCGGCUCAACCGGGAGCGUGCAUCUGAUACUGCAGAGCUUGAGUAUUAGAGAGGAAAGGGGAAUUCCUGGUGUAGCGGUGAAAUGCGUAGAUAUUAGGAGGAACACCAGUGGCGAAGGCGGCUUUCUGGCUAAUAACUGACGCUGAGGCGCGAAAGCGUGGGGAGCAAACAGG